UAAUUUCUUCUCUUUGGUCAUUCCCGGCUGGGUACCUGUAGAAAUCUUGCUGACUUGCUGCUGUUCUGUUCACCUCAUUUCGCAGGAUCUAUUGGCCAUAGUGGGUUUUUUUUCAUCCAGGAAGUGCAUCGUCUCUCCUUUUGUCCAGACCUACUCCCCCUUUGUUGUGCUGCCGUAUCAUCCAGCCGUGGUUGAUGUUGUGCCUAUUGUAGUUAUUGCUUCACACCUUGAGAAAUCCUUGUGGCGGAAGGAAGUCAUAUAUCAUCGCUGCAGUGAAGUGC
This is a long non-coding RNA of Triticum dicoccoides, 281 nucleotides long. RefSeq lists it as uncharacterized. Lineage: Eukaryota; Viridiplantae; Streptophyta; Magnoliopsida; Poales; Poaceae. The record is from RefSeq and is a predicted model, not a curated record. The transcript has 3 exons.